UUAGAAGGAAUCGCAUAUGAAAAGGUAACUUUCUCGACAAGUCUUAUAUAAAGGACAUAGUCAUAAUAGUCUCGUGUAGAUGGAAACCUUCCUAUAUAUGUGUGAUUAUGUUCAAGCUUAUUUCUGAGAAAAAUAAGAUUAAACAGAUGGCACCACAGUAAGAAUAUAUCCAUUGAAAUUACUUUUCACUGUUUCCGAGGAAAAGAUACUUUUGAUAAGUGUUAUAUAUUUACAACUACUUUGGAAUAUUUGAGAAAUCCCAAAUGUAGAUAAUACGUCAUUAUUCAACAAGUAUCACUGGCAGAGUUACUGAGCAAUAUUAAGUAACACCAUCUUUACCAACUCAAGCAUUAGCCUUUUGCUUUGAUGAUACUUAGAAGAAUAUGACCUAGUGGGAAAUCAGCAACAAAUGAGUGGGCCCAUUUAUUUAAUCAAGCCAUUGCAUUUUUUAACCAUAAUUGGACAUCUAAUUGCAGUCUAAAACCAAGUUGAUGUGACUACAUAAGAAAGGUAUUAUAGUCAUAUUUAAAAGCACACUAAAUGCUGUUGUCCAUUUUAUCACUGCAAUGACUUAUACUGUGUACUCUGUAUUGAGAGAGUCUUGAUUUUGACUUUGAAAUACAUUUUAAUUUUUAAAAAUAUUUUACAAAAAAUGAGAAAAAUAAUUCAGCUGAUAAGGUCAAUAAGGAAAAAUAAUAAAUUGCAACUCACUUUCGAUAAAGUAACAUUUGUCUGAACAAGAAUAAAUUCAGAGCAUGUAUUUAUUUAUAUUCUAAUGGUGUUUUAAAUUCUAAAGCUAUCCUAUGAUAAAAAUAUAUAAGUAUUACCAAACAUAUUUCAUUUGCCUGUUAUGAUAGGCACAAUGGCAAAGGUUCAUUCAAUUUACUCAACAGAGUGUAGAUAGGUGGUAUGACACAUCAGCCUUUCAAGGAUCUAUGUUGUUUUUUCCAUAAAAUUCAAUGUUAGGCUUUUUAUACAAGAUCAGUUUUUAUUACUGUUUUACCAGAUCUGAGUGGCUACUAUUUAAUAGUUUGAUUGCUAUUUAGUUCCUAGUCAGUUUCAUCAAUUAGUUUAGUCAGGAAGCUCAGUCAAAAUAAUUGGGUUUGUAUAGAGAUAGCCUAAAUCAAUAGGAUGAAAGAGGGAAAGAAAUUAUAUUUCGGUAUCACUGAAUUCAGAACAGAGCAAUAAAUAAUACAUACUUUCUAACUUGGCCUUGUAGUUAUGCCAGGGGGGAAAAGGGAGGCCACCAAAUCAUUUAUGAGGAAAAAAUAUAGAUCUAAAAUGUGAAGGUAGCUUAUAGUAGAAAAACUUCUAAUAGAAAAAAGCAUAUAAAUUUUGAAGGUCUAAGGAGAACAGUGACUAAAUAUUAUUGCAAGCACAACACUCUUCAAAAGCAAAUGAGCUUAAAUAUACUCAUUGGCACAGAUGUGAAUUAGUAUGAAAAGUAACUUUAAGAAUAUUUAGAGAUAUUUUCAAGUUUUUGUACUUAAAGUUUAAAUACAACUUUUUUUCUCCAAUAUCUCCUUCCAAAAUAAAACAUCUUCAGAAUGCCCCCCCACAAGGCCUAUAGACUGUUAUAUUUGUUAUUGCCAUGCUGCAAUUUUAUUCUUAUGCUUCUUAGUCAAUGGGUUAUUUUACAGUAAAAUUUGGAGCAUGACACACCAUAUGAAGAGGUAAAGCAAAUCCACAGAAGAAAGAGGAUAAAAGCAUCACUCUAUGCUUCCGUUUGGUUAGUUAGGAUUAUUUUGCCCUCCCUUCCCCACUCUCCUCACGCCCCCCAAAAAAAUUAUUUGCACUCUAUGCAUCAAGAUAGUUUUUGGUCAUUAUUUUUAGAUUAAUUAUCAAGAUACAGAUUUCUUCAGAGAAUAUAAGGAAAGUUUUUUGAAGUAACUAGAGUAAAUAUGACUAUUUCCUAAUAGAAAGUUGGUCCAGUAUAUAUUCUGGCUAACUCAUUAUAAAAGUAGUCAACCUUUGCUUUACUUUUCUUUAGCAUUUCAGCUACUAAAAACAUUGUUUUAAGUUACAAACAUUGGGUGCAUCAUAAUUACAGACACUUAAGAGACAAAUACAUUUUGACAUUUAUUUCCUCCACUGUCAGAUUCUAUUAUGUGUUAAAAGGAAAUCCAUUCAUUACAAUACUGCAUGUUAGGAGUUGAAAAAUAACUCAAAGCUUUUUCACUUCAUAAUUUUGUUUUUCAAGGAGCAAUAAUCACAAAACUAUACAUACAUUGUCCGGAAUUUUUUAAAAUAAAAGUUUCGUUAAAAUAUCCAUCUUCAAUUUUCAGGCUAGAAUGGGGUUCUUAUAGAUUUCUAUGCAUCAAGGCAGCCAUUUUUAAAGACGACAUCUUUAAAGAAGAUAUAUCUAUGUAAUGGGUUCCACUUACUGCUAAAUUAGUUUAACUAAUGACAUCAUGUUGGGACAAUCAUGUUUUACUUUUAGUAUUAAUUCUACUUUCUUUGACUAUAUCCAUGUAGAAUGAAGACAGGUGUUUUCUUUGUACAAGAAUUGUUUUGACAGACAGAUUCAAAAGAUAGAGAACUAUAUCAAUACAUCUGCUUGGUACUUUUUAACUGCACAGAAUUCCUACAAGUAGGAGGGAACUGAAGACAGGGGAAGGUACAUUUCAUAUAAGAAGUAAAAAAUUAAAAGCAUGAUCAUGGAAAAAAAACAAAAAACAAAAAACACCGGAUCCUUGUUAAAUAGAGAAUGGAGGGAAGAUAUAGGGAUCCUUCAUCAUUGCAAUCCUGAUAAAAGACCAAGUCAUGUUCAGUCCAGAUAACUGUAAAUGGAGCCUAGCUUUAUGAUACACUCUAGGCUCUGAAACUACAUUGACAAAGCAAGUAGCAAGAAACUAAAGUCCUGUAUCCAAUACACUUGCAAACUAAAAAUCUCUGCAUGACUACCAUGAAUAAGUAGCAUUUAUAAAGUAUCAUCUUAUCCUUAAGAAUAUAUUAAUUAUAGCACUCAGCCACUACCCUUUCUAGGAAGAUUUCUUUCACAUUUAGUUUUAAUAAACCACUUCCAUUUAACAAUUCUAGCAUAGUUACCAUUUAUGUUUUCUGCAAUAUUCCCAUGUACUCUCUACUCUUCAGAUUUAAUUAUACCCACCCUCACACUGAUGGAAGUUUCUUAAUUUGUAUACAGUAAACAUUUUCAUAAGAUAUUUCUUAUGAUAUCAGGGGAAAGAUGUAUCUUUAGAAAUUAGUUUUUUCACUAAAGAUACUUUAAUCUCUUCUUUCAGCAACACUAAUUUGGUUUCAGCCUCUUCCUAAAAGUAUCAUUUGGCAUUCUCUCCACUCUCUUUACCUCCCUUAUUCUAUUUUCUGGAAUUCAUAUUCUUUCUUCCUGUUUCAACACACCGAAUUUUUUCUUUAUUUUUUUCC
This 3384-nucleotide long non-coding RNA is filed under the name Sus scrofa (pig). RNAcentral's name for it is "lncRNA (ENSSSCG00060056506.1)". Lineage: Eukaryota; Metazoa; Chordata; Mammalia; Artiodactyla; Suidae. The record is from RNAcentral.